Molecule: ribosomal RNA, 451 nt
Filed under: uncultured bacterium
Lineage: Bacteria
Description: partial 16S ribosomal RNA
Rfam family: Bacterial small subunit ribosomal RNA
Source: RNAcentral
AGCGAACGCUGGCGGCAGGCUUAACACAUGCAAGUCGAGCGGGCAUAGCAAUAUGUCAGCGGCAGACGGGUGAGUAACGCGUGGGAACGUACCUUUUGGUUCGGAGCAACUGAGGGAAACUUCAGCUAAUACCGGAUAAGCCCUUACGGGGAAAGAUUUAUCGCCGAAAGAUCGGCCCGCGUCUGAUUAGCUAGUUGGUGAGGUAAUGGCUCACCAAGGCGACGAUCAGUAGCUGGUCUGGGAGGAUGAUCAGCCACAUUGGGACUGAGACACGGCCCAAACUCCUACGGGAGGCAGCAGUGGGGAAUAUUGGAAAAUGGGCGCAAGCCUGAUCCAGCCAUGCCGCGUGAGUGAUGAAGGCCCUAGGGUUGUAAAGCUCUUUUGUGCGGGAAGAUAAUGACGGUACCGCAAGAAUAAGCCCCGGCUAACUUCGUGCCAGCAGCCGCAGUAA